RNAcentral lists this long non-coding RNA (468 nucleotides) under Hordeum vulgare. Its description in RNAcentral is "long non-coding RNA (HVUL_LNC004295)". Lineage: Eukaryota; Viridiplantae; Streptophyta; Magnoliopsida; Poales; Poaceae. The record is from RNAcentral.
UCCUACUUCUUCUUCUAGUUUUAUUCUUCAAAAUGACAUACUUAGCCAAUUAUCCUCCAAAAUGGCAUAAUUAGCUUAUUUAGUUCAUUUAUGACAUAAUUGUCUUAGUUAGGUAAAAAAUAGCACAACAACCUUGGUUAGCUCAUAACUUAGCGUAUCUUCCUCCAAAAUGACAUAACAAGCUAAAAAUAAGAUAACUAAUCAUCUUCACCUUCUUCUUCACCUUAUUCUUCUUUUUCUCCUCCUUCUUCUAGUCUUCUCCUGCUCCUCCAUCUUAUUCUUCUAAUUUUAUUAUCCAAAAUGACAUACUUAGCUAAUUAUCCUCCAAAAUGACAUAAUUAGCUUAUUUAGUUUAUUUAUGACAUCAUUAGCUUAGUUACAUCAAAAAUAGCACAAGAACCUUGGUUAGCUCAUAACGUAGCGUAUCUUCCUCCGAAACGACAUAAUAAGCUCAAAAUAAGAUAAGUA